UUCUUGAAGUUUUAGAUUAAA
Molecule: non-coding RNA, 21 nt
Filed under: Caenorhabditis elegans
Lineage: Eukaryota; Metazoa; Nematoda; Chromadorea; Rhabditida; Rhabditidae
Source: RNAcentral